RNAcentral lists this ribosomal RNA (440 nucleotides) under uncultured bacterium. RNAcentral describes it as "bacterial SSU rRNA". It matches the Rfam family "Bacterial small subunit ribosomal RNA", at positions 338 to 795 of the family's 1533-position model. The record is from RNAcentral.
CCUACGGGUGGCUGCAGUGGGGAAUAUUGCACAAUGGGGGAAACCCUGAUGCAGCAACGCCGCGUGAGCGAUGAAGGCCUUCGGGUCGUAAAGCUCUGUCCUAAGGGAAGAAUACUGACGGUACCUUAGGAGUAAGCCCCGGCAAACUACGUGCCAGCAACCGCGGUAAUACGUAAGGGGCUAGCGUUAUACGGAAUUACUGGGCGUAAAGGGUGCGUAGGCGGCCCUUCAAGGCAGAGGUGAAAGGCUAGGGCUCAACCGUAGUAAGCCUUUGAAACUGUAGGGAUUGAGUGCAGGAGAGGAGAGUGGACUACCCAGGUUAGCGGUGAAAUGCGUAGAUAUUGGGAGGAAGACCAGGUGCGAAGGGGAAUCUCUGGCCUGUAACUGACGCAGAGGCACGAAAGCGUGGGGAGCGAACAGGAUUAGAUACCAUAGCAGUA